GAUGAACGCUGGCGGCGUGCCUAAUACAUGCAAGUCGAGCGAACAGAUGAGGAGCUUGCUCCUCUGACGUUAGCGGCGGACGGGUGAGUAACACGUGGAUAACCUACCUAUAAGACUGGGAUAACUUCGGGAAACCGGAGCUAAUACCGGAUAAUAUAUUGAACCGCAUGGUUCAAUAGUGAAAGACGGUUUUGCUGUCACUUUUAGAUGGAUCCGCGCCGCAUUAGCUAGUUGGUAAGGUAACGGCUUACCAAGGCAACGAUGGGUAGCCGACCGGAGAGGGUAACGGCCCCAAUGGGACCGGGACCACGGCCCAAACCCCUAGGGGGGGCGGCGGAGGGAAUCCUCCCCAAAGGGGGAAAAGCUGAUGGAGCCAAGGCCCGGGGGGGAAGAAGGGCUUUGGAUUCGAAAACCUCUUUUUUAGGGAAAAAACAAAGUGAGAAGAAAUGUUCACGGUUUUAAGGUAACCAACUAAAAAACCCCGGCUAAAUUCGGU
This 496-nucleotide ribosomal RNA is filed under the name uncultured bacterium. Its description in RNAcentral is "partial 16S ribosomal RNA". It matches the Rfam family "Bacterial small subunit ribosomal RNA", at positions 28 to 507 of the family's 1533-position model. The record is from RNAcentral.